UACCGCUAUUGGGAUUCGAUAAUCCAUGCGAGUCGAGGAGUCUUAGGGACUCGUGCGUACCGCUCAGUAACACGUGGGUAACCUGCACCUAUGCUGGGGAAUAACCUCGGGAAACUGAGAAUAAUGCCCCGAUAGUCCACCAUGCCUGGGAACGGUUGGUGGAAUCAAAGCCCCGGCAGGCAUAGGAUGGGCCUGCGGCGUAUCAGGUUGUAGGAGCCUGUAACAUACCCUCUGAACCAUCAGACAACGUACGGGUGUUGAGAGACAUAGACCGGGAGAUGGGAUUCUGAGACUCGGGUCCAGACCCUACGGGAGUGCAGCCAAGCGCAAAGAUCUUGGCAAUGCG
Molecule: ribosomal RNA, 346 nt
Filed under: uncultured marine euryarchaeote
Lineage: Archaea; Methanobacteriati; Methanobacteriota
Description: bacterial SSU rRNA
Rfam family: Archaeal small subunit ribosomal RNA
Source: RNAcentral